UAGCAAUAGUUGUUUUAGAAUCCGAUGACGCAAAUGUCUCGAAAAACACCAAGCAGUCAAUAGAACACUUUCAGCAGAGAAACGCGUGCAAACAUCAUCAUUUCUCAGCGGGGUGGCAGACAUCUUGAAAUGCUUUUUGCUUGAGUUCAGUCGACAUUUUACCACGGAGCUGAUCCGGUACCGCCUCUUUUUUGCCGCGAAUCACACCCAAAAACUCCCGCUGCAGUAUGCAGGCCUUGCGAGGUCAGAGAGUUGGACAGAUUCCUCUGAUCUCUGGAGAAGCACUUCGAUAUACAGGUGAUGCACUGAUGUACCACCUCCCUGCACCAAACUCCAGUCAAUAUGAAAGCCCAGCUGCAGAUCUGGAUAUAUAUCAGCGCAGUGCAGCACAAAAUGGAAACUUGGGUCUUCAAUAUUACAGCUUUACAGGCCAGGGUAGAAAUGGCAUUCCUGUAUUUCACAAUGCUAGCUCCUAUCAGCAGCAAGUGACAUGGAGAGAAUAUGGAGCACGUAACUAUGGGUACUAUCAAAAUGUGCCAUCAUGGACCAGCUGGUGUCCUUCAACAUACACAUACUAUAGCAAUGAAAGUGCUUCUCAGCCCUAUGGAAAUCAGUUCCAGCCAGCUCUGAACUCUGUUCAAUACCAAGGAAAUGGAACCUGCUAUUCUACAGGCAACAAUUACCAGAGCUCUUAUGCUUAUAGCAGUGGAUACCCUGUGCCUCUGAUAAACUCUUAUCAUCUGGGACACCAGCUGUCUAGACCCAGCAACACUGUCUUAACUUAUCAAAACCUAAAUGAUCAUAUCCAGCCCAGACUUCAAGAAAGAAAACCCUCACAGAUAAGCCCCACGGUACCUAUCUCAAAUAAGAAAAAACCCUACAUGGAUCCUACAUCAGUCGAUAACUACAAACCUCAGGCCUUUGACAUGAUUGUCAAUAGUUUAGAAAGGGAAAUAGAAAUUCUGUCCAAGAAGCCUCUUUUACCUGACAAAGUGAAGAGCAUUGAUACAGUAUCUGCAGCAAAACCUCAUUUUGUUGGUACUGAGAAGGAAAUCUCAGUCACUCCCAUACUUCAGGAAGAGAAACAGAACUUAACCCAGAUCUUGGCUCACAGGUGUGACAUUUCUGAACAGAGGGACAGCCAGGGAAUCAGUCAAGGCCAUGAAGAAAAUUCCCAGGAGCAGAUUAAUUCCAGCAUCAUGACUUUGGAUGAUGGUUUGUGUUGUUCUCAGAGCCCUGAGAUUAGUUGUAAGGAAGAAAUAGAAGGACUCCAACGGGAUGCUGACUUGGGAUGUGGGGACAUCAACGCUGCAGCCAAGAAGACUGUAAAUAAUAUCACAUCACUUGGUCUUCCAGAAGAUCUCCUCUCUGCAAAUUAUGACUGCUCCAUUGUAUCAGCUAUGAUCUCUACAAUGAAUUAUUUUUAUAACAUUAAUGCUUCUGAUGUCCCCAGUGACACAGAUGAUAGCCUAAAACAAUACUUUACACAUCAGAGGAAGAGAAGGAGGGAUGAUUAUGAAGAGAGACUACGAUCAAACACCUCAAACCUUUCUAAAAACUCUAGAAAUGAUAUGCAGACAACUCUGAUUAACACAAUAAAGACAGAAACACAAAGGCAUCCUCAUGGAAUAACAGAAAAACAUGGACCUCCAAAAAUCCAAAACAUAUACCGCAAGACAUUAAAGAGAAAAGGGGCAUUUUCAGAAACUGGAUUUUUGGCAAAAAGAGCUAAGUUUGGAGAUCAUGCAGCUCUCCGGGCUUUCAAAAAAUUGUGCUGGCGUCAAAUGUAACUCAAGAACAUUAUGAAAGUGAAGAUUUAUUAUAUAUUUUAUGGGUAUUUCUUAAUAAGUAAUUUAAAUUUUAAUUCAGUUGAUAUACAUAAAUAUUUAGAACUACCAAUAUAAAGAUUUGUUCUUAAUGUACACGAAAAUGGGUUUACACACUUUGUAUGACAUUUUAAUAAACCAUUGAAUUUCAAUAAGUGCUG
RNAcentral lists this long non-coding RNA (1987 nucleotides) under Lepisosteus oculatus (spotted gar). Its description in RNAcentral is "lncRNA (ENSLOCG00000022601.1)". The record is from RNAcentral. Lineage: Eukaryota; Metazoa; Chordata; Actinopteri; Semionotiformes; Lepisosteidae.